AUUGAACGCUGGCGGCACGCCUAACACAUGCAAGUCGAGCGGUAGCAUGAUAUGUAGCAAUACAUAUUGAUGACGAGCGGCGGACGGGUGAGGAACACGUAGGAAUCUACCCUUAAGCGGGGGACAACCAAGGGAAACUUUGGCUAAUACCGCAUAGACUCGAGAGAGUAAAGCUGCCGCGAGGUGGCGCUUGAGGAGGAGCCUGCGUCCGAUUAGCUAGUUGGUAGGGUAAAAGCCAACCAAGGCGAUGAUCGGUAACUGGUCUGAGAGGACGACAAGUCACACUGGGACUGAGACACGGCCAAGGCUCCUACGGGAGGCAGCAGUGGGGAAUAUUGGACAAUGGGGGCAACCCUGAUCCAGCGAUGCCGCGUGAGUGAAGAAGGCCUUCGGGUCGUAAAGCUCUUUAGGUUGGGAAGAAGGGUGUUUGAGGAUAAUUCAAGCAUUUUGACGGUACUGACAGAAUAAGCACCGGCAAACUCUGUGCCAGCCGCCGCGGUAA
RNAcentral lists this ribosomal RNA (502 nucleotides) under uncultured bacterium. Its description in RNAcentral is "partial 16S ribosomal RNA". It matches the Rfam family "Bacterial small subunit ribosomal RNA", at positions 29 to 523 of the family's 1533-position model. The record is from RNAcentral.